GUUUGUUACCCAUGCUGCAUGCACUGGUAUCCAUGCGCCUCAGCUGGGCUGCUGAUUUCACCCCUAAUUCAGGCUCACUCAGCCAUUGGGCCUGCUUCCAGAGAGCCCAGCUGCAUCCCUUUCCCCCUUCAGACCUAGUUUAAAGCCCUCUCAACAAGUUCUGCUAGUUCAUGAGCUAAAAACUUUCUGCCCUUAACAGAGAGAUGGAGCCCAUCUGGUUCCAGCAGGCCAAGUACAGUAAAAGUUGUCCCAUAAUCAAGGAAUUCAAAAUUCUGCAGGUGGCAAUACCUCUCACAGAUGAAUCAUAAUUGGGAGACUCACUGGACAGAUAAUUUUCUUCUAAAUCAUGUGGCUGACUCCAGAUCCAGGGGCUCAUACCUGUUCCGAAGUGUCACCUGGCUGGGGAGUAGGGGUCAGGAGGAAUUUUUAUUAUUACCUCCUUGAGUGGAUAUCUACUCCCACUCCCCUUCAUCUAUCAGGUAUCCUUCUGUUGUCUAAGAGUAAGAGGUAUAAAAGACUGUGGGUACCAAGGAGAGCAUUGCUUCACUGCCAGAUCUCAUGGAACCAAGGAUUCAUUGUGACACUGCAGGGCCUUGGGGGACCAUGGCACCAUUGUGACACUGUGGGGCCCAAGGAGCCAAGGGAGUUUGUGAAACCAAGGGGUUCCCUGGAACCAAAAGAAUAUUGUGACACUCAUUUAAUCAUGGAGACCAGUGAGACACUCUGGGGCCUUAUGGAACCAUGGUGACACCAAGCUGUCUGGGAGUGCUGAUCACCUGGAGGGUAGGAGGGCUCUGCAGAGGGCCCUGGACAGGCUGGAUCCAGGGGCCAAAUCCAACAAGCUCUGCACACAGACAUUGCUGCUGCAGCUCCAGAUGAGGCAACAAAAGGGCAUCUCUGCAGAAAUCUCUGCUGGGAGAUCCUUUACUUCCUUUUAAGCCACUGAGAAUGCAGCCCCUCACUGUCAACGGUCUGUGGCCACAGUGAACGUGGAGAGAAACAAAAUGAACAAAGGCACAAACAAUGACAUUUCUUUGUGGAAUAAAAUAUAAAAGUAAAACAAAAAAAAAAAAAAGGAACCUCCAAAAUGAAACCAACAACAAUUGUCAAAGUUUAUUUUUAUUACAAAUGAUUUGUGGAAAUUUGCCAGCAGUUUAAUGUUUCUGAAAGCAUCGAGUUAUCAGUCCCCACACUGCAGCCUUGAGCUCCUGGUUCCUCAGGCUGUAGAUGAGGGGGUUCAGGGCUGGAGGCACCACUGAGUACAGAAGUGAUAGGGCCAGAUCCAGGGAUGGGGAGGAGGUGGAGGGGGGCUUCAGGUAUGCAAUCCAAAUAGUGCUGACAAACAGAGAGAGAACAGCCAAGUGAGGGAGGCAGGUGGAAAAGACUUUGUGCCGUCCUUGCUCAGAGGGGAUCCUCAGCACAGCCCUGAAGAUCUGCACAUAGGAGAAAACAAUGAACACAAAACAACCAAGCCCUAAACAGGCACUAACUGCAACGAACCCAAGUUCCCUGAGGGAGCUGGAGUUUGAGCAUGUAAGUUUGAGGACUGGGGACACAUCACAGAAGAACUGGCCCAGGGCAUUGCCAUGGCACAGCG
Passer domesticus (house sparrow) is the source of this 1597-nucleotide long non-coding RNA. RefSeq lists it as uncharacterized. The record is from RefSeq and is a predicted model, not a curated record. The transcript has 3 exons. NCBI's taxonomy places the organism in Eukaryota, Metazoa, Chordata, Aves, Passeriformes, Passeridae.